UAUGCAGAGAAAACAAUAGAGCAUUGAACAGUUUGAUCUUUGUCUCGUCUGACCUCAUUACAUUCUCCCAGUAACCUACAGGCUUCUCCAAAUGUUCUGUAGCAAGCUUGAAACGAGCUUCAACAUGCCUUUUCUACAGUAAUGGAAUCAAGGCGUGAUGGUGAAUGGAGACUGUAGCAGUAUUGCGCACUGCAUAUUGCUUUCUCUGACGACUGUACUCGCUGCUUCCAGUUCUUUCUGGAGAGCUUUUCGAGUGGUCCUCGGCUCUUGGGCUUCUCCUCUGCGUAACUUUGUCAGCCCUGUCAGAAAUCUUGCGAGGAGCUCCUGCGUGUGGCCGGUUGAUAGUCACCUAAUGGUGCUUAAAGGAACAUUUGGGAGUAAUUCUUUGGAGAGCGCUUUGCUUCUACUCAUCAUGAGAUGUUUCUUGCGCGACAGUUUGGUGACAAAUGAUUUGUUUACUUGUAUUCAGAGGUGGGUUCCCCUUUUCCACAGAGUGGACGUACUAACCUACCAUCAUACACUAACCCAGCUGAUUCUAAUUAGCACAGGUAGGAGAACUGUUUUUUCUUGUUCAAUACUUAAUUCCUGUGUCAUUCCACUUUAUUGCACAUAACUUUUUUAUGGAUUGGUAUAUUAUGAUUUCUUUAGCGGUGUAGCUUCAUCGAGUUAACACCCAUGUCGGGUCUACAUUUCAUGUGAAAACAUUUAUAUGGACAGCGGUAAUCUAAUUAUUGACCUUAUUCUGAAUAAGACAAUACUGUGAUUAAGGUGUUUACAUGAGUCGCUUUUAGAAUAUCCCUGUUUUAUAUAUUAUAAAACACAGAUCGACUAAAACAGAAAUACUCCACACGUCUUAAUUUGUUUUGUGUUUACUUCGAGUAUGACUUUAAUCGGAUUAAGGUAAUAAAUUUUUUUUAUUUACAUGCUAGUUUCCUGAUCAGAGUAUCGUCUUAAUCGGGUUAAUAUCGGAUUAUUGUUGUCCAGUAAACAUACUGAUUUACCCACACGAUAGUUUAAUAAUAUUUCAUUAGACACUGCCAUCUGGUGGCUGAUUUUAUACUUGAACUGGAGACACAGCAGAUAUUCCAGCUCUAAGGAUCAUCAUUAAUCUCACUAAUGUUUAAUCGUAUUAGGAUUGGUGCCGUUUAUUUGGAUUCCAUUAAGCAGAAAUACUCAGGGUGCUGUUGACUAUUAAUAUAAUCCUUGUCCAUCUGUAGGAAAUAGAAGAGCCCGAAUUAACAGGAAGAACAUAGGCAUAUUUCUGAGACUGUACUUACCGAGUCACAUCUUUCAAACUAUCCUUCUGAGUGUGUUUUAAUUAAUUUGACUCACUAUUACGACACACUUUACUGAUUCUUUCCAACUACCCGUCUAAGUGAGAUCUGAUUCACUUUGAAUCGAAACACAUCGCUACUCUGCACAACUACAGCUUCAGUUUGACUCCUCUUGAUAAAAACGUAAGAAGUCCAUUACAGUGAAAUACACAGAUUUUCAAAUGUGAGAAACUUUCAUUUAAAAUGUAAUAUAUAAAUGCACGUUGAUGUUAACACGAGCGGUUUGUGUUUAUUUAUUAAAGACUCGUCCAGCGCUAGAAGAACAAGAGACUGGUUUACGUGAUGAAUCAUUCCAUUUACACUUGAAUAAUGUCUCCAAGCUGCAGUUAGCGUUAGCCUGGCAGGUAUAUAUUAUUAGAAUAUAUUACUGAAACAGUGUUAACUUGAAUAACGAAGGCUGCGGUUCACUCUACAGGUAAGUAUUUAAAGACUACACCAUGUUGUUCUAUGCGUUUUGUUCACAGAGAGCUUUUUAGUGAAGCCGUGAGCUGCUGAAUGAUUUCUGAGUUUUUAAUUUAAUCUCUGAUCCAGAAUCCUAAAUUGUGGUGGUCUCCUUUACCUACCGUGUAGUGAUUAGAAGACUAUCAUGAUUCAGUGAUCCCGUGUGUGAAGCUGCUCCGUUUUGGACUCUGUAUAGCAAUAAAAAUACACAACCAUUUUAUCAUGAGAUCUGCUGGACAAUUUAAAAAUAAAUAAAUAAAUCAG
Molecule: long non-coding RNA, 2039 nt
Organism: Ictalurus punctatus (channel catfish)
Lineage: Eukaryota; Metazoa; Chordata; Actinopteri; Siluriformes; Ictaluridae
Source: Ensembl